ACGGUGAUAGGGGAGCUUGCUUCUCUUGAUCAGUGGCGAACGGGUGAGUAACACGUGAGUAACCUGCCCUUGACUCUGGGAUAACUCCGGGAAACCGGGGCUAAUACUGGAUACGAAGCGCCUCGGCAUCGGGUGCGCUUGGAAAGUUUUUCGGUCAAGGAUGGACUCGCGGCCUAUCAGCUUGUUGGUGAGGUAAUGGCUCACCAAGGCGUCGACGGGUAGCCGGCCUGAGAGGGCGACCGGCCACACUGGGACUGAGACACGGCCCAGACUCCUACGGGAGGCAGCAGUGGGGAAUAUUGCACAAUGGGCGAAAGCCUGAUGCAGCGACGCCGCGUGAGGGAUGAAGGCCUUCGGGUUGUAAACCUCUUUCAGUAGGGAAGAAGCGAAAGUGACGGUACCUGCAGAAGAAGCGCCGGCUAACUACGUGCCAGCAGCCGCGGUAAUACGUAGGGCGCAAGCGUUGUCCGGAAUUAUUGGGCGUAAAGAGCUCGUAGGCGGUUUGUCGCGUCUGGUGUGAAAACUCAAGGCUCAACCUUGAGCUUGCAUCGGGUACGGGCAGACUAGAGUGUGGUAGGGGUGACUGGAAUUCCUGGUGUAGCGGUGGAAUGCGCAGAUAUCAGGAGGAACACCGAUGGCGAAGGCAGGUCACUGGGCCACUACUGACGCUGAGGAGCGAAAGCAUGGGGAGCGAACAGGAUUAGAUACCCUGGUAGUCCAUGCCGUAAACGUUGGGCACUAGGUGUGGGGCUCAUUCCACGAGUUCCGCGCCGCAGCUAACGCAUUAAGUGCCCCGCCUGGGGAGUACGGCCGCAAGGCUAAAACUCAAAGGAAUUGACGGGGGCCCGCACAAGCGGCGGAGCAUGCGGAUUAAUUCGAUGCAACGCGAAGAACCUUACCAAGGCUUGACAUACACCGGAAUCGGCCAGAGAUGGUCGCGUCUUCGGACUGGUGUACAGGUGGUGCAUGGUUGUCGUCAGCUCGUGUCGUGAGAUGUUGGGUUAAGUCCCGCAACGAGCGCAACCCUCGUCCUAUGUUGCCAGCAC
This 1046-nucleotide ribosomal RNA is filed under the name Sanguibacter sp. enrichment culture clone HY10. RNAcentral's name for it is "bacterial SSU rRNA". It matches the Rfam family "Bacterial small subunit ribosomal RNA", at positions 66 to 1124 of the family's 1533-position model. Lineage: Bacteria; Bacillati; Actinomycetota; Actinomycetes; Micrococcales; Sanguibacteraceae. The record is from RNAcentral.